UAGGGAGGGGCCUGGAUUCUGUGGGCAGAGUCCGGGGAUGCUCUGCUUGGAAUUGUGAUGGGGGCGAGAUGAAUGGUCUAGCAGGAGGCCCUGAGCGGAGGCCCUGGCUAAGAGGCAGCUGCCUCCCUAGUGAUGCUGGAAUGUAAAGAAAAGCUUAGUCUUCCAUGAUAGAUGGUGGUGAAAUCAAACCCGAAGGGGUUUCGGGAGCUAGAAAAGUCAUCUUGGCCUGAAAGACAGCAAUAUAAUAUCCAGAGAAUUUGAACCAAAAGUCCUACAGUCCUACAGUGAAAUGGCCGGUACUCACCUCCCAGCUGCUGCCUGACAAGGUUUGAAAGGUUCCACUUCCUCAAGGCUCUACAACCUUCCAAAACAGCGCCACCUUCUGGGAACCCAGCAUUUAAACAUAUGAGCCUGUGGGAGACGUUUGACCUGCAAACCACAAGAAGUCAGCCUGAAAGCACCCUGUUCUUUGCCAAAUGCCCUGCCCUCUGCAGGCAAAGAAGAACAUGACCACAGCAGUGCCAAGACCAGACCAACAGGAACUUCCACGCACUACAAUGAACCUGAUGUAAGUCACAUCUGUCUGUAAGUCACAUGACUUACAGAGGCCAUUUUAUGAAUUUGGUCCAUGUCAGCAUCUUCUCCAGGACCGACAAAUGACUCUGCAGCCUGUUGGUGUGUAUGGAGUCCUCCAUGUUGCUGGUAGGACGGGGUGCGGUGGACAUGUUUGCAUUGGAGUCAUUGCUGCCAUAAUCCCCAUGAUCAUCAUAGUCACCAUCAACAUCACAAUCAUUGUCAUCAUAGUCACCAUCAUCAUCAUCAUCAUCAUCACCACCACAGUUAUCAUCACCAUUACCAUCAUAGUCAGUGCCAUCAUGGUCACCAUUGCCAUCAUCGUCAUCCCAGUAUCACCAUCAUCAUCACCAUCACCAUUGAAGUCAUUAACAUCAUAGUAUCAUUAUCAUCAUCACUGUCAUCAUCACCACCAUCAUCAUCAUCAUAGUCAUCAUUACGAGAAUCGAACCUUCAUAAUUGCUAUCCCCAUCACAAUCGCCGUCAUCAUCAUCGUCAUUGUUACCAUCAUCAUCACUGACACCAUCAUCAUCACCGUCAUAAUUACCAUCACCAUCACAGUCAUCAUCACCAUUAGAGUUAUUAUCUUCAUGACCUUCACCACCAUCUACACCAUCACAAUCACCAUCAUUCCUGAAAAAGAGAAACAAAAAAGGAACGGACAUCACUGUUCCUAGCAAGGAAAUGACAUAAAGAUGGAGGAAUUUCAAGGCCGGGAGAACAAAUUUAUGCCGGGGAAGCUAGCAAGUUCCUUACUGAUGGAGCCCUCUGAUUUCUCUGGAUGGCUGAGCCAGAGAGGAAGUCACAGUCCUGCAUAGCCAGUGAUAACCUUGGGUUAGUGCAACAUAAACUGCAUGCAUUAUUUUCUCCAUCACAACAACCUGAACUAUGGACCUCAGUGUGUUUAAGACUGCAAGCAAAAGCCAAAGCUGCAUGACUGCUACCCAGAUGUCCUGGGGGACCAUGGGCUUGGGGAGACUUGCUGAGGCCUGGAUGUCUGCAGCUCUACUCUGUCAUGCUCUCACAGGGUCUUCUUGUGUGAUGUAGCUUAGCAAGCUAAGAAGUAUUUUGGUAAAACAGACAUUCCAAGAGUGAAUGGAUCCCUUCUGUAUCUGGGGCGAAACUUGUCCCUUUGAGAUGUUUUCAAGGUGAAAUCUGGUUGAUGACUUUAAGCUGACACUUCAGAUGACCACAUUCUGGUGAGCCACUUUAGAAAUUGGAUAAUUUUUUUCUCUUAGUAAAUUAACAUGCUGAUUUGGAGCUGAAGAGAUGAUUCAGAAGUUGAGAACACUUGCUGCUCUUGCAGAGGACCUGUGUUCUGUCCCCAGUACCCAUGCCAGGAGGUUCACAAUCAUCUGUUACUCCAGCUCCAGGGGACCCAGUCUCUGCCCUCUGAGGCAGUCAUACAGAGACACUCAUAUGCCUAUCAAUAAAAAUAAAGCUUUAGAAAAAUGCUGCCUGGGCACUGUGUCCCCACACUUUGAGUGUUACUUCUCAAGAUCCCAGAAGAGCUAAUGAUAUUAGCUCUCCAUCUCCUGAAAUGUGUCUUUUUAAAAGCACGUAAAACAAAAUACAGCCUGAGUCUUUUGUACAAAGAUACUCAAUGUUUCUGUUUUUAACAAUGCACAAAGUAAAAACAACAUAAACACCCAAGAGCAGGAAAAUGGCCAAGUAAGUUACAAUAUAGCCAUAAUGUGGAAUUUUAUAAAUCCAUAACGAAUAUACUCUUCAUAGACAAUUAAAGGUGACAGGGAAAGUCUAA
Molecule: non-coding RNA, 2335 nt
Organism: Cricetulus griseus (Chinese hamster)
Lineage: Eukaryota; Metazoa; Chordata; Mammalia; Rodentia; Cricetidae
Source: RefSeq, a predicted model, not a curated record